UGGGUAAUGGGUACCCACGGGUU
This 23-nucleotide small nuclear RNA is filed under the name Arabidopsis thaliana (thale cress). Its description in RNAcentral is "snRNA_17250". Lineage: Eukaryota; Viridiplantae; Streptophyta; Magnoliopsida; Brassicales; Brassicaceae. The record is from RNAcentral.